Molecule: long non-coding RNA, 236 nt
Filed under: Brassica napus (rape)
Lineage: Eukaryota; Viridiplantae; Streptophyta; Magnoliopsida; Brassicales; Brassicaceae
Description: long non-coding RNA (BNAP_LNC002744)
Source: RNAcentral
UAAAGAUAAAGUUCCAGAUCCUAACUGGACACUCGACUCCACAAGACUAACCAUAGUACCGGUAGUCCGGCCUAUAUGGCCUAAGACCCUUAGUACUAACUACUAAACGACUAAGCAAUAAUAAUCAAUACUAAUCAAUUAAAUCAAACCGUUAUCCAGAUAGUCCAGACUCCUGCUAUGAAACUAUCCUUAAAGAUAACGGGAACCUGCACUCAACCAAAUCAACACACAAGAAU